GUCAGCAGAGAUUUUAGGUGUUCUGACAGCCCCCACCCUCUCACACUUUAGUGCUAAAACUAAUGCAUAUCAUUACGUUGCCCACUCCUGAAACAACCGAUUUGUGGCUGUUUGUGUUGCAGGACCAGCACUGCCUGAUAUAUAAUGAACCCUGUUUACCCACAGCAGGUGGAUAUGACGUCACGGACUUGGAACAUCAAAACAACAACACCACCACAUCCAAAUCCGCGAUUCUUCCCCUUUUUCCCUGCUUUUUUCCCCUCGCCGUGUUAAAGAAUCUAAUAAGAACAUUAAGAGCGGGAGCCAGUGCCCUUUUUCUCCCUCUUUUCCUCUCCGGUGCGAGGCACACACAGAGGGAACUCAGCGUUUCUCGCUUUGUUUCGACGCUUUCGACUAGAGCGCUAUGGAGAGGAAGUGACACCACGCCAAGCCACGACUGAGCGCUUACGUCACAACUCCUCUCUCCUCAAGACAGCAAAAGAGGAAUGGAGUGCCAGUGUGCCCUGCACCAGUGAUUGGGGUAUGUAGCAAAUCUCCUACUUGGGUAUCCCAUUGCGUACAUAAAGUGUGUGCUGUUUGUCUGGGAAGUGUCCCCAAAACACUAUUAGAUGUGAACAUUU
Molecule: long non-coding RNA, 620 nt
Filed under: Gouania willdenowi (blunt-snouted clingfish)
Lineage: Eukaryota; Metazoa; Chordata; Actinopteri; Blenniiformes; Gobiesocidae
Description: lncRNA (ENSGWIG00000024786.1)
Source: RNAcentral